RNAcentral lists this ribosomal RNA (252 nucleotides) under uncultured bacterium. RNAcentral describes it as "partial 16S ribosomal RNA". It matches the Rfam family "Bacterial small subunit ribosomal RNA", at positions 524 to 776 of the family's 1533-position model. The record is from RNAcentral.
GACGGGGGGGCUAGCGUUAUUCGGAAUGACUAGGCGUAAAGGGCACGUAGGCGGUGAAUCCGGUUGAAAGUGAAAGUCGCCAGCUCAACUGGCGGAAUGCUUUCAAAACCAAUUCACUUGAGUAAGAUAGAGGAUAGUGGAAUUUCGUGUGUAGAGAUAAAAUUCACAGAUAUACGAAGGAACACCAAAAGCGAAGGCAGCUUUCUGGGUCUCUACUGACGCUAAGGUGCGAAAGCAUAGGGAGCAAACAGG